UGCCAUAGCCGGCGGCUUUUGGCGUGCUUUCCGCACGGAAAGGCCUGCAGCUUGCUGCGGGUACUCGAGUGGCGAACGGGUGAGUAACACGUGGGUGAUCUGCCCUCAACUUUGGGAUAAGCCUGGGAAACUGGGUCUAAUACCGGAUAUGACCUUUCUUUAGUGUGGAAGGUGGAAAGCUUUUGCGGUUGGGGAUGAGCUCGCGGCCUAUCAGCUUGUUGGUGGGGUAAUGGCCUACCAAGGCGUCGACGGGUAGCCGGCCUGAGAGGGUGUACGGCCACAUUGGGACUGAGAUACGGCCCAGACUCCUACGGGAGGCAGCAGUGGGGAAUAUUGCACAAUGGGCGGAAGCCUGAUGCAGCGACGCCGCGUGGGGGAUGAAGGCCUUCGGGUUGUAAACUCCUUUCGACAGGGACGAAGCUUUUUGUGACGGUACCUGUAUAAAAAGCACCGGCUAACUACGUGCCACCAGCCGCGGUAAUACGUAGGGUGCGAGCGUUGUCCGGAAUUACUGGGCGUAAAGAGCUCGUAGGUGGUUUGUCGCGUCGUCUGUGAAAUUCCGGGGCUUAACUCCGGGCGUGCAGGCGAUACGGGCUGACUUGAGUGCUGUAGGGGAGACUGGAAUUCCUGGUGUAGCGGUGAAAUGCGCAGAUAUCAGGAGGAACACCGAUGGCGAAGGCAGGUCUCUGGGCAGUUACUGACGCUGAGGAGCGAAAGCAUGGGUAGCGAACAGGAUUAGAUACCCUGGUAGUCCAUGCCGUAAACGGUGGGCGCUAGGUGUGAGUCCCUUCCACGGGGUUUGUGCCGUAGCUAACGCAUUAAGCGCCCCGCCUGGGGAGUACGGCCGCAAGGCUAAAACUCAAGGAAUUGACGGGGGCCCGCACAAGCGGCGGAGCAUGUGAUUAAUUCGAUGCACGCGAAGAACCUUACUUGGGCUUGACAUAUACAGGAUUGCUGCAGAGAUGUAGUUUCCCUUGUGGCUUGUAAUACAGUGUGCAUG
This 1000-nucleotide ribosomal RNA is filed under the name Corynebacterium singulare. RNAcentral describes it as "bacterial SSU rRNA". It matches the Rfam family "Bacterial small subunit ribosomal RNA", at positions 20 to 1047 of the family's 1533-position model. Lineage: Bacteria; Bacillati; Actinomycetota; Actinomycetes; Mycobacteriales; Corynebacteriaceae. The record is from RNAcentral.